Bubalus bubalis (water buffalo) is the source of this 1877-nucleotide long non-coding RNA. RefSeq lists it as uncharacterized. The record is from RefSeq and is a predicted model, not a curated record. The transcript has 3 exons. NCBI's taxonomy places the organism in Eukaryota, Metazoa, Chordata, Mammalia, Artiodactyla, Bovidae.
GUUCCUCAGAGACUGUGGGGGGCAUGUCUCACGUUUGCCAUUUCUGAAGAUGUUACCUCAAGAAGUAUUUGUGAGGACAAAACUGUGCGUUAUUCUACAGUCCAGAAGGGUUUUACACGUAAAGUUCUCUCUUUUUUCCUCCGCUUUCUAUAUCCACAACAGUACAUUUCCAGGGUCAUAGCGUAGAUAAACUUCUAUUGUUCUUGUUCACGUACAUAAAAGACUGUCUAGUUCAGAAAAGUAAAUGCUUUUUACUUUUGCACUGACUCGGCACGUUUGCUUUCUAGACUCGAGUGAGGAGCCAUUCACCUGAUGCUUCCGGCCAAUUCCCAGCUCUGCUUCCGGCGACGCAGGGUUACCCCCGAGACGGCCGCGAGGGCCCCCAGAGCCGGUGCCGCCGGCCAGCCACGCGGAACCUCCGGGACCCGUGAAAGACGCCGAAGACUGCAGGUCCGGGGUCCUGUGAAUAAAAGCUUCCCAGAUCUCUGAGAAACCUUCACUUACAGAGAUCCCCUGACACCCGCCCUCCUAAUCUGUUCCUAUGAAUUUGAUGACUCUGGGGCCUUCAUAUGGUGGAAUUACACAGCAUCUUUCUCUGUGUGGCUGACUGACUUCACUGAACUGUCUUCAGGUUUCCUCUGUGCUGUAGCAGGUGAGGCUCCUCCGUGCAGCAGGGGGAGAAGACGAGCUUGAGAAGCCCCCUUUGGGCUGGACGGUGAUGCUGCCCAUCUUCCUGAUGGGGUGUCUGCCCGCAGCUCCCUGAGUUGUGCGAGCUGGUGAUCUGACCCCGCUGCGAUGUCAGCACUCUUCCCACUGCUCAGUCUCACAGACUCAGACUCUUUCUGAAAUGCAUCAGAAAGCCCCAAGGUCAGCACUGUUCCCACUGCUCAGUCUCACGGACUCAGACUCUUUCUGACAUGCAUCAGAAAGCCCUUUACGCGUUUUCUUGGACGGUCUGACUUCCGGGGUGGGCAGGUUGUGGUCAGCGGGGUACAGGUUCUGUAGGAUGCUGCCCCGUUGUGGGGCCCUUGCUUCUCAACGUGACGGCGAUGCAGGGACCCAACCCACCCCUGCUCCAUGCUGCACGAUGCCAGCCUAUGCUUCACUUCUGGCUCUGAGGUCCUGACGGGGUGAGGGCCAUGGGCUGCCCAUCACUGCCGAGAGAGAGAACGGGUUAGCCCGGCCGCCUGGCUGGAGGGGGAGGAAGUCACCCAAUGAUGCCGUGGGUUCUGGGAAGAAGAGCGGGACCGCGAGGAUGGAUGGCUCCCGUGACAUCAGUCCCACUUGGAGCCUUGAUGCUUCCCUUGCGCUGGUGGUGAAGGGGCAGUCCUGCUGAGCUCCAUGGCCUUGAAUUUGGAAGGAACCCUGGGUGACUUUAGGUUAGCCUUGCCUGUUGUGUGUCCUUGGAGGAGAACACGCAGCUGAGUCUGGGACUGCAGCAGCUGGGCUGAACCUAGGAGGCGACAACAGGUCAUGACCACCAGCCGGUGCCCUGACCUGAGCGGCGCGCCCAACCAGAGCCAGUCACAUCCGCCCAGCAGCGCCCGGGGGAGGCAGAGGCACCAGCCUCUUGUGUCAGCUCAGCCGCCUGUGACUUGGAGCUGAUGGGGGUGUCCUGCAAACAUGGAAUUCCCCGGUGUGUCCCGCAAGCCUUCAGGUGGGGACCCAAGGCCACCAGGAUGCAUGGCUCCCUGGCCCCCAGGACAAGAGCUGGAGAAAGGAGGUUGGCUGAAACAGAGGCCGCCCUCCUGGGCUGUGGAUGAGGUGGGAAGGCUGGUGAAACUCUUCUGUAAACGGAACUUCUCAGAGGCUAGUGUGUGUUAGCCUCUCAGCUGUGUCCGACUCUGCAAUCCCGUGGACUAUAGCCCACCAGGUUC